Cinara cedri is the source of this 827-nucleotide non-coding RNA. The record is from the annotation of a GenBank genome assembly. NCBI's taxonomy places the organism in Eukaryota, Metazoa, Arthropoda, Insecta, Hemiptera, Aphididae.
UCUGCAAAAAAUUAAAUUUUUUAAUGAAAUAAAAUACAUACAUCAUAGUAAUAUAAUGAAGAUAUAUUAUGUCUUUAAAGUAAAUAAUUAAUGAAUUUAGACUUCAAAUUUACAUAACUAAAAAAAAACUUAUCACAAAGUUAUGGCUUUUUAUAUAUAUUUAGCUUUACUGCAUAUGGUUUUUACGAUUUAAUAAUGUAAAAUGUCAAGUAAAUAACUUUAUUUAAGUAUAUUUUAUUUAUACAAAUUAAUUAUUUAUCCCUCCCUAGUCAUUACGGUCACUCUCUAGCUCUUAUGAAUUUUUGUUUAAGCUAGGGAGUGACUUCCUAGGAAAUGACAAAUCAACCGUUUUUAUCUGUCUAAUUAAGAAUAGCUGAUAAAUAAAUAUAGUAGGUUUAGCUAUUUACAGAGGUUAAAAAAUACUACAAGACUACGUAAAUUACAAAAAAUAACAUCUUAGCUGUACAAUUUUGAUACGCUCUAAGGAGUGACCGUCAAUAAAAGUACUACACACACUUCCACUGAUAUUCACAUAUGAGAAGCAACUGAUAAGGUAAUAGAACAUAACAAAAUGGCCCAAUUGUUUAAUUCAAUACCUAAAAUGUUACUGAAAAGAAUGGUAUCUGAAUGUAAGGUGCAAAGUGAAAGAAAAAGGUACUAUUAACUUUUUAAUGCAACACCUUAGCUUUGUGACAGGGCUAGGAAGGGACAAUAUUAGUAUAACAUAUUUAUUAAUUAGGUACCUCUUAACUGUUAAAACUUCAUAGUGAAAAGGAAAUGCUGAUCACAAGUAGAUUAAUAAAGGAAAAACAAAUUCAACAUUAUGC